This 1386-nucleotide ribosomal RNA is filed under the name uncultured organism. Its description in RNAcentral is "SSU rRNA". It matches the Rfam family "Bacterial small subunit ribosomal RNA". The record is from RNAcentral.
AACGCUAGCUACAGGCUUAACACAUGCAAGUCGACUUUCAGCAGGAAGAAAGCUUGCUUUCUUUGCUGGCGACCGGCGCACGGGUGAGUAACACGUAUCCAACCCGCCCUUUACUCGGGGAUAGCCUUUCGAAAGAAAGAUUAAUACCCGAUGGCAUAAUGAUUCCGCAUGGUUUCAUUAUUAAAGGAUUCCGGUAAAGGAUGGGGAUGCGUUCCAUUAGGUUGUUGGUGAGGUAACGGCUCACCAAGCCUUCGAUGGAUAGGGGUUCUGAGAGGAAGGUCCCCCACAUUGGAACUGAGACACGGUCCAAACUCCUACGGGAGGCAGCAGUGAGGAAUAUUGGUCAAUGGGCGCUAGCCUGAACCAGCCAAGUAGCGUGAAGGAUGAAGGCUCUAUGGGUCGUAAACUUCUUUUAUAUAAGAAUAAAGUGCAGUAUGUAUACUGUUUUGUAUGUAUUAUAUGAAUAAGGAUCGGCUAACUCCGUGCCAGCAGCCGCGGUAAUACGGAGGAUCCGAGCGUUAUCCGGAUUUAUUGGGUUUAAAGGGAGCGUAGGUGGACUGGUAAGUCAGUUGUGAAAGUUUGCGGCUCAACCGUAAAAUUGCAGUUGAUACUGUCAGUCUUGAGUACAGUAGAGGUGGGCGGAAUUCGUGGUGUAGCGGUGAAAUGCUUAGAUAUCACGAAGAACUCCGAUUGCGAAGGCAGCUCACUGGACUGCAACUGACACUGAUGCUCGAAAGUGUGGGUAUCAAACAGGAUUAGAUACCCUGGUAGUCCACACAGUAAACGAUGAAUACUCGCUGUUUGCGAUAUACAGUAAGCGGCCAAGCGAAAGCAUUAAGUAUUCCACCUGGGGAGUACGCCGGCAACGGCGAAACUCAAAGGAAUUGACGGGGGCCCGCACAAGCGGAGGAACAUGUGGUUUAAUUCGAUGAUACGCGAGGAACCUUACCCGGGCUUAAAUUGCAGUGGAAUGAUGUGGAAACAUGUCAGUGAGCAAUCACCGCUGUGAAGGUGCUGCAUGGUUGUCGUCAGCUCGUGCCGUGAGGUGUCGGCUUAAGUGCCAUAACGAGCGCAACCCUUAUCUUUAGUUACUAACAGGUUAUGCUGAGGACUCUAGAGAGACUGCCGUCGUAAGAUGUGAGGAAGGUGGGGAUGACGUCAAAUCAGCACGGCCCUUACGUCCGGGGCUACACACGUGUUACAAUGGGGGGUACAGAAGGCAGCUAGCGGGUGACCGUAUGCUAAUCCCAAAAGCCUCUCUCAGUUCGGAUCGAAGUCUGCAACCCGACUUCGUGAAGCUGGAUUCGCUAGUAAUCGCGCAUCAGCCACGGCGCGGUGAAUACGUUCCCGGGCCUUGUACACACCGCCCGUCAAGCCAUGGGAGCC